RNAcentral lists this long non-coding RNA (400 nucleotides) under Lupinus angustifolius (narrow-leaved blue lupine). Its description in RNAcentral is "long non-coding RNA (LANG_LNC000362)". The record is from RNAcentral. Lineage: Eukaryota; Viridiplantae; Streptophyta; Magnoliopsida; Fabales; Fabaceae.
GGCACCCCCUCCAUUUAAUAAAAAAACAAGGAAGAGAAAAGGGGAUUAAUCCCAGGAGGUGAAAAACCCUCAUCUUCAUCUUCUCUCACGCGGUGGCCCAAGAGGUGGAAUCCGUCUUCUUCCUCGGUGCCGACGGUCCAGACGCGGGAAUGGAGGGAGCCACGGUGAUAGCCGAAGGUUCUGAUGGUGGCGGUUUAUGGUGGUUCACGGUGGUCCAAUAGCGGUGGUGGUUUGCGAUGGCUUUCUGAUUCGAGGCUUCCCUUCUCACGAUGCAACAAGAUGAGUCUCUGUCCAAGAGGGCACACGAUGCCCCUGAGACCCAUUACAUCACUUCACAUGCUUGAUUAGGUUUUGGGACCUAUCCCUCAAUCAUGGAAUCACAGAUCCGCGGGAAAUCGGU